RNAcentral lists this ribosomal RNA (460 nucleotides) under uncultured bacterium. RNAcentral describes it as "partial 16S ribosomal RNA". It matches the Rfam family "Bacterial small subunit ribosomal RNA", at positions 338 to 795 of the family's 1533-position model. The record is from RNAcentral.
CCUACGGGUGGCUGCAGUGAGGAAUAUUGGUCAAUGGGCGCGAGCCUGAACCAGCCAAGCAGCGUGAAGGAUGACUGCCCUACGGGUUUUAAACUCCUUUUAUAAAGGAAUAAAGUGAGGCACGUUUGCCUUUUUGUAUGUACUUUAUGAAUAAGGAUCGGCUAACUCCGUGCCAGCAGCCGCGGUAAUACGGAGGAUCCGAGCGUUAUCCGGAUUUAUUGGGUUUAAAGGGAGCGUAGAUGGGUUGUUAAGUCAGUUGUGAAAGUUUGCGGCUCAACCGGAAAAUUGCAAUUGAAACUGGCAGUCUAGAGUACAGUUGAGGUAGGCGGAAUUCGUGGUGUAGCGGUGAAAUGCUUAGAGAUCACGAAGAACUCCGAUUGCGAAGGCAGCUUACUAAACUGCCACUGACAUUGAUGCUCGAAAGUGUGGGUAUCAAACAGGAUUAGAUACCCCUGUAGUC